GAUGAAGAACGCAGCGAAAUGCGAUAAGUAAUGUGAAUUGCAGAAUUCAGUGAAUCAUCGAAUCUUUGAACGCAUCUUGCGCUCCUUGGUAUUCCGAGGAGCAUGCCUGUUUGAGUGUCAUUCAACUUGUCAACCACUUUGGAAGUUGUUUUUCAAUGUGGCUUGGAUGUGGGGGAUUUGCAGGCUUUUCUUCUGUCUGCUCUCCUGAAAUGCAUUAGUGGUGUCUUAAAGGGUUCACAACCACAGGUGUGAUAAAUUAUCUAUGCCUUUGGUAUGAACAGAACUGUGCUGCUUCUAAAUGAAAUGAGCCCUUGCUGGCUCUUUCUUUUGAUGAAUUUGACCUCAAAUCAGGUAGGACUACCCGCUGAACUUAAGCAUAUCAAUAAGCGGAGGA
RNAcentral lists this unclassified non-coding RNA (394 nucleotides) under soil metagenome. RNAcentral's name for it is "partial contains 5.8S ribosomal RNA, internal transcribed spacer 2, and large subunit ribosomal RNA". The stretch from base 1 to 120 matches the Rfam family "5.8S ribosomal RNA", at positions 35 to 154 of the family's 154-position model. The record is from RNAcentral.